Molecule: long non-coding RNA, 180 nt
Organism: Tachysurus vachellii
Lineage: Eukaryota; Metazoa; Chordata; Actinopteri; Siluriformes; Bagridae
Exons: 3
Source: RefSeq, a predicted model, not a curated record
ACCUGCAGCUGUUCCAGGGUGACCUCUUGACUUUGUCCUUGCUCUUGGGGGAGGACGCACCACUUCCUGCAGCAGUGGAUGGGUGCGGCUAAAGAAGAUGACAUCAUCAGGAUACUCCCGAGUGGACCGGAAACGUCCGUUUGGAGUGUGGAGAUGAAGUGUGAGAAGGUGUGAUGGAGU